This 189-nucleotide ribosomal RNA is filed under the name Polytomella capuana. RNAcentral's name for it is "small subunit ribosomal RNA". Lineage: Eukaryota; Viridiplantae; Chlorophyta; Chlorophyceae; Chlamydomonadales; Chlamydomonadaceae. The record is from RNAcentral.
UCAUCGAUCGGCUUAUAAACGACUAGGUAGUUGGGUCGGCGGCACCCCGCAGCGCCCCAAGCCCGAUCGUUCGCUCUGCGCAACCGCAAACAGCCACAAUAGCGCGGUGCAUCGCUAUCGUUUUUUAACGCAGCAGUAAGAAGGUUUGGACACUGGUGAAAACGCCGAUCCAGGCGAGCGCGACGAUUU